Molecule: ribosomal RNA, 156 nt
Organism: Brachypodium distachyon (stiff brome)
Lineage: Eukaryota; Viridiplantae; Streptophyta; Magnoliopsida; Poales; Poaceae
Product: 5.8S ribosomal RNA
Exons: 1
Source: RefSeq, a predicted model, not a curated record
GACUCUCGGCAACGGAUAUCUCGGCUCUCGCAUCGAUGAAGAACGUAGCGAAAUGCGAUACCUGGUGUGAAUUGCAGAAUCCCGCGAACCAUCGAGUCUUUGAACGCAAGUUGCGCCCGAGGCCACCCAGCCAAGGGCACGCCUGCCUAGGCGUCA